Tarenaya hassleriana is the source of this 1132-nucleotide long non-coding RNA. RefSeq lists it as uncharacterized. The transcript is spliced from 2 exons. The record is from RefSeq and is a predicted model, not a curated record. Lineage: Eukaryota; Viridiplantae; Streptophyta; Magnoliopsida; Brassicales; Cleomaceae.
GUUUUAAUUUGUAUGCUGUUCGACUUUUGUUUGGGAUAUUAUUGAAAGAGCAUUUUAAAAUUUAAUUCUUUUGAACUGUGCUUAAAACUCUGUUUCAACACAUCAAGAACCCUCAUUUCCUCUUCAAACGGUUUCCGAGCUAAUCAUGGACAUCAGCGAAUCCAUUGUCGCGAGAUUAAAACAAAAGGGUGAUUAGAUUUCCUAAACGCAGAACCAGAAGAAUCCCGGAAGAAACAGCUGUUUUUUUUUUCUUGUAUUUUUUUGGGUUGAAUCAGGAGAAAGUGUGAUCGAGUAGGCAUCGUUUCAUGGCUGGGUACAAACCCGAUGGUCUUGAUCGGUGACUCAGGUGUGGGAAAGUCGAACUUGCUCUCUAGAUUUACGAGGAACGAGUUCAAUCUAAAAUCCAAGCCAACUAUCGGUGUUGAGUUCGCGGCCAGAACUCUUAAAAUCGAUGUCCUCCACUUGGUUGUACAUAUCGUCUUCUCCACAUGUUCCAACGAUUUUCAUCUAAGCUUCAUUCUUGUAUGCUUCCAUGGCGCCUCACAGCCUGUUGCACAUGUAAAGGAAACAUAACCUGCAUUUUGAUUGCAGAAAGAGUGUAGGAUAUCAUAUCUGUAUACUGGGAUAAUGUUUUUUUAGAUGUAUACACACAAAAAAUGGGACAAGAAAACUCUGUUCUUCAUUUCUUGUCUGGUCAUUAACCACACCCCUAGAACUCUGAAACCUCUGACAGAUGCCGAACAAGGCAACAAGUGUGCAUCUUCUUCACCCUUGUGUCAGUCAAAACAGAAGACGGGAAAGCGUUUGACAAGAUAGAUGGAAUCACUCUGUUUCAUGGAGAGGCUUCAGCUUUGGAUGUCAACCAACGGUUGAGGGAAGCCUUCACUGAAGUGCCUUGUUCAGAUUCACAACGCCGAAGGGGCUGGCUGCUUCAUCUGGUUUGCCUUCUAAAGGGGAGAGAGAGAGAGAGAGAGAGCAUAAACGUUACAGAACAAAGACAGGUCUCUAACUCUGCUCAUGAGAUUCAGUUCCUGUUCUAAUUAGACAUGUGAUUUGAUAUUGUGGGAUUUGGGUUUUGUGUACAUAAUUAUUUUUUGUAUAAAAUGAUUUUACUUUCUUGUUUUAAAUUUUA